This 590-nucleotide ribosomal RNA is filed under the name uncultured bacterium. Its description in RNAcentral is "bacterial SSU rRNA". It matches the Rfam family "Bacterial small subunit ribosomal RNA", at positions 100 to 689 of the family's 1533-position model. The record is from RNAcentral.
GCACGGGUGCGUAACGCGUAUCAAACCUGCCUCAUACUCGGGGAUAGCCUUGCGAAAGUAAGAUUAAUACCCGAUGUUGUUAUGUUACCGCAUGGUGAUAUAACCAAAGAUUUAUCGGUAUGAGAUGGUGAUGCGUCCGAUUAGGUAGUAGGCGGGGUAACGGCCCACCUAGCCUUCGAUCGGUAGGGGUUCUGAGAGGAAGGUCCCCCACACUGGAACUGAGACACGGUCCAGACUCCUACGGGAGGCAGCAGUGAGGAAUAUUGGUCAAUGGACGSAAGUCUGAACCAGCCAAGUAGCGUGCAGGAUGACGGCCCUCCGGGUUGUAAACUGCUUUUAGUUGGGAAUAAAAAAGAGGACGUGUCCUCUAUUGUAUGUACCUUCAGAAAAAGGACCGGCUAAUUCCGUGCCAGCAGCCGCGGUAAUACGGAAGGUCCAGGCGUUAUCCGGAUUUAUUGGGUUUAAAGGGAGCGUAGGCGGAUUAUUAAGUCAGUGGUGAAAGACGGUGGCUCAACCAUCGUUAGCCAUUGAAACUGGUAGUCUUGAGUGCAGACAGGGAUGCUGGAACUCGUGGUGUAGCGGUGAAAUGC